UACAGAGGGGGCAAGCGUUGUUCGGAAUUACUGGGCGUAAAGGGCGCGUAGGCGGCCUGCUAAGUCAUACGUGAAAUCCCUCGGCUCAACCGGGGAACUGCGUGUGAUACUGGCGGGCUUGAAUUCGGGAGAGGGAUGCGGAAUUCCAGGUGUAGCGGUGAAAUGCGUAGAUAUCUGGAGGAACACCGGUGGCGAAGGCGGCAUCCUGGACCGAGAUUGACGCUGAGGCGCGAAAGCUGGGGGAGCAAAC
This 250-nucleotide ribosomal RNA is filed under the name uncultured bacterium. RNAcentral's name for it is "partial 16S ribosomal RNA". It matches the Rfam family "Bacterial small subunit ribosomal RNA", at positions 524 to 773 of the family's 1533-position model. The record is from RNAcentral.